Molecule: transfer RNA, 67 nt
Filed under: uncultured Collinsella sp.
Lineage: Bacteria; Bacillati; Actinomycetota; Coriobacteriia; Coriobacteriales; Coriobacteriaceae
Rfam family: tRNA
About the family: Transfer RNA (tRNA) molecules are approximately 80 nucleotides in length. Their secondary structure includes four short double-helical elements and three loops (D, anti-codon, and T loops). Further hydrogen bonds mediate the characteristic L-shaped molecular structure. tRNAs have two regions of fundamental functional importance: the anti-codon, which is responsible for specific mRNA codon recognition, and the 3' end, to which the tRNAs corresponding amino acid is attached (by aminoacyl-tRNA synthetases). tRNAs cope with the degeneracy of the genetic code in two manners: having more than one tRNA (with a specific anti-codon) for a particular amino acid; and 'wobble' base-pairing, i.e. permitting non-standard base-pairing at the 3rd anti-codon position.
Source: RNAcentral
GACGUGGCGCAGUUUGGUAGCGCGCCUGCUUUGGGAGCAGGAUGCCGCAGGUUCAAAUCCUGUCGUC